Non-coding RNA from Hysterangium stoloniferum, 92 nucleotides. Lineage: Eukaryota; Fungi; Basidiomycota; Agaricomycetes; Hysterangiales; Hysterangiaceae. The record is from the annotation of a GenBank genome assembly.
GGUCUGGUGGUCUAGAGGUAUGAUUCCUUCUUAGGGUUGAGUUGAAUGCUUAACGAUGGAGGAGGUCCCGGGUUCAAUUCCCGGCUAGACCC